UAGUUCGAACCUAGCCAUGCAUGCUAGGAACCCUCCGGCCCCCCGGCUGUUCACGGCCGAGGGGCCUCAGGAAAUCUGCGAACGGCUCCGUACAACUGUUAUAAGCCUACCGUGGGGUGAAGAACGGAUAAGCGGCGGUAAACCUGCACCUAAAACGUAAAUUCCCCACGGGAGAGCUUUCUCUCCCGGGGGGACCUGCUCUACAGUAAGCUACAGCUUGGCGGCGUAGCGAACACGAGGGACUCCAGCCAUCCAGCACCGCAGCCCGGGUAGACCCCCUCGCGGGUCUUCCCUACGUCCGCCCGGGGCAUCUGCCCUGGGCGGGCAGCUGCCCAGCGGGGAAACGGCUGGAGCAUCACCAAAGGUAAUGUAAGGCGCCUAGGCGCAGACCGCAGGGCACGAUGGGUUUCAGGCCUAUCAGCUUGCUGGUAGGGUAUUGGCCUACCAGGGCUGCUACGGGUACAGAGGUCAGGGUUC
This 477-nucleotide ribosomal RNA is filed under the name Myxogastria sp. RNAcentral describes it as "partial small subunit ribosomal RNA". It matches the Rfam family "Eukaryotic small subunit ribosomal RNA", at positions 47 to 378 of the family's 1831-position model. Lineage: Eukaryota; Evosea; Eumycetozoa. The record is from RNAcentral.